Molecule: long non-coding RNA, 1014 nt
Organism: Carya illinoinensis
Lineage: Eukaryota; Viridiplantae; Streptophyta; Magnoliopsida; Fagales; Juglandaceae
Exons: 2
Source: RefSeq, a predicted model, not a curated record
CUUCUUGGUCCCAUCUAUUAAUCUCUUUUCCCUUUUGAAUAUGUUGUAGCAAUGGACCUAUACUCCAACCAUUAUUUCUUUAGGCAUUACUUCUUUGUGUAGCUACAGUUUUCGAAUCCCACCAAGUAGUUGAUCUCUCGAUUUCUGAGUCAAAUGUAGAGGCAAUAUCGCUAUGGGGCUUGUUGGGACUAGCUCCGAUGCCUAAGUUGAGUGGCGAAGAUAUGAAAGCUUUCUUUGUCUAUUGAGAAGUUGACAGAGUUCCCCUCUGUUAAUCAACCAGUGGACCCCCCAUCUUUUGAAGAAUGGUCCAGCUCUUGUUCAAGGGCUGCAAAGUUGUGGAUCUGUAACGUCGAUUCAGUCUUUCAAAUGAGGUGAAAGGCACCAACCCCACCAGAGUAUUUUGAAAGGAGAGUUUUCAGAGUCUAAAAUGGCAUUUUCUCCUAGAUGUGACUCCAGUUCAAUUCAGAUUCGUGAACCUGCAGGUAAAGACCCAUACCGACCCUCCUUCCUUCCAAGGACUAGUGCAUUUACUGUAAGCCAACAUUGUUUAUUUGUUGCUAUGAAUGUGAAUAGAUAGAAAAAAUAAUUUAACCACCCAACAAAAUUGAGAUCUUUCCAAAUUUACAAAACAUAACAACUGAAAGAUGUAUUUGAUCUGUUGAUUUUAGUCAAAUUAAAUGCUACUGCAACUUUUUAAUAGUAAGGUGUAAAACUCCAAAGUUCAAAGUAUACUUUAAAUUAUUUCAACACUAAAUGAUCACAUCAUAUAUCGAUCUAUAUCUCUCAUGUUCAUGCCAAUGCUUUGAUUCCAAGAAACCCACACAGGUUUAGUGAGAUGAACUCAUCGAUGCAUCAUAAUUUUACAUACCCAAUACUAUUCUGUCUUUUUGAAUUGUAAAUGGCCUAUUCAUAAACUAAGAAAAUCACCAUGGAAAGAUCACGAAAGAAAGAAUUAGAAAGAGCACUGCCUCCAACCUGGCUAGAUUCUGCAUUCUAGCCAAAUUUAUGUGAGAG